AUGAGCGAGACCUCGAGCGACUGGGUCUUUCCACUGCUGUCUUCAGAGCUGCACUUACACUGCUGCUUCUGCCACCUAAGAAAAAACAAUGGACUAACAAAGGAGAAAGUCUCUCACUCAACCUGCUGCAGAAGAAUGAGCGCCUUGUGGUGUUUUGAAUGUCUGUGGCAGAGGGUGACACGCAGCCAAAGGCCCUGGGUGCUUGUGAAGAGAGUGGCGAAAUACAACACUUUGUACCUUUCAGGUAACUCUAGGUUGUACAGAGUAAGGUCAGUCAUGAUCAUUAAACAAGCGUGCUUUAAAGAAGAUGAAAUGAAAAUUUAUGUUCCUUUCAGAAUAAAACAUCUUAAAAUUUCUAUAAAUUGUUAUGCCUCAUGCAUAUUGCAAAAAUAUGCAGUAAAAAUAAAUUGUACCUGUCCGAAUUCUUCCAAGGCACCCUUAAACUACAAAUCACUUUAAUCUUAAUGGGGCAUCGUAUAAGCUAGUCCACGUUUUAUGCCAGUCAGACCAGAGAUGUGUGGACAGCACGCAUCAGGAACGCAGUGCUCGGCGCUUGCGCAUGGUAUCAUCUCAGGUGGAGUAUGUACAUACACAACCCGAUGCAUUUAUAAAAAGAUACAGCUAUUCUAGAUAUGAUUCAGAUACAGAUAACACUGUCCCUGUGAUGGUAGCUGCUAAUGAGGAUGCUGACGCUGAAAACACUGGAUUCUAAACGCCACUGUAUGGACUGAUCUUGACCUCUUUUAGCGUGUAUACUAUAUUCUUUGGAUUGUGCCUAUUGACACUAUACCAAAAGCUUAAAACCUGGAUUUUUGCCUCAGAGCCUGGCUUCAGGGUCUGCCUAACAACUGGCUCCAAAAUGAACAAACCUUCAAUGAUUGCUGCUCAUAAUGAAUUUCUUUUCAUGUGGGCUCAAAUGAGAUCUAGAUUUCAUGUCUAAGUCACACAAACACCCACACGAAAGGUAAAUGCUUAUGAAAAAAGUUGUAUUAAUGGCUCUAAUCCUAAACUGUUGUUCAAUCGCUGAGUCUCUAGCACUUUGCGACCCCCUGGACUGCAACACGCCAGGCUUCCCUAUCCUUCUCUGUCUCCUGGGGUUUGCUCAAACUUGAGUCCAUUGAGUCGAUAAUGCCAUCUGACCAUCUCCUUCUCUGUAGCCCCCUUCUCCUCCUGCCCUCAGUCUAAUCCUAUAGGAAGUUUAAAUUAGGAGGGCAGAGUUAUGCAUGUCCCUGCUGCAACAACUGCAUGUGAAUAAAGAAUUUAAAACGUGUGUAUUCCGAAUAAUAAUGUUCAAGAGGUUUGCAAACGUGCACACCUGUGGACUUGCAAUUCGGGCUGAAAAAGGGAAGUCCAGGGCAUGCUAUACUCACACAGUAGGCCUUGUGGUCUGGUACAUAAAGCACUCCCGCUGGGCGUGAAUCUUGAGGAGUAGAUGGAGGCUUACCUCUCCGAAUAUCACACCUGGAGAAAACUGUCCUAUCCUGCAUCCAGGCCUUUGCCCGGGUCAUUUCUUCUGUGUUUCCUUUGGGUUUUGAGCUCACAGGACUCUUGUCUAAGAAGCCUUUCUGAGCUACCUGCCAAGGCUCCCAUAGCACUUGUUUAUCCCCAUAUAAGGGCUCACUAUCCUGAAUUGUUAUUUUCUAAACCGCAGCAACUCUGAGCAGUCGGGUGGAUCCCAAGCAUUUUUAUGAGAUAAACCAUCUGAGCUGUGACCUUCCUGGUCAGGGUCAUCUCAGUUUCCCUCAUCGUUGGGUCCUCAGCCCCUGGAGCAGAGUCUGAAAAUAGACAUUCACUUACUAUUUAUUAAAUGAAACAAAUUUUUAAACAGUUAAAACAGGAGUUAAAGUCCUGUGUUUCAUUCUACCAGACUUUUAGCUGAUCACUAAUUUACCUGUUAAAUUUUUUAAAGCACACUUUCACAUAAUUUGCUGCUGUGAUAUUAGCCAUAUUUGCUGGUGUUAUUUAACCUGGCUGUCAGAUACGGAAUGUCCAAUAAACACGUUUUCUCUUUUCAUUUCUUU
This 2021-nucleotide long non-coding RNA is filed under the name Capra hircus (goat). RNAcentral describes it as "lncRNA (ENSCHIG00010015928.1)". The record is from RNAcentral. Lineage: Eukaryota; Metazoa; Chordata; Mammalia; Artiodactyla; Bovidae.